Molecule: small RNA, 78 nt
Filed under: Flavobacterium sp. 81
Lineage: Bacteria; Pseudomonadati; Bacteroidota; Flavobacteriia; Flavobacteriales; Flavobacteriaceae
Also listed under: 1 other name
Description: Flavo-1 RNA
Rfam family: Flavo-1 RNA
Source: RNAcentral
UUUUAGCCCUGAUAGUAGCGGCAUCCUUUUUGUUUUUUCUUUAAAAACAAAAAGAUAUAGCGAAUAGCAGGAAAUAGC